CGCUGGCGGCGUGCCUAACACAUGCAAGUCGAGCGAGGAGAUUCCUUCGGGAUGAUCCUAGCGGCGGACGGGUGAGUAACACGUGGGCAACCUGCCUCAUAGAGAGGAAUAGCCUUCCGAAAGGGAGAUUAAUACCUCAUAACAUUGCAGUUUCGCAUGGAACAGCAAUUAAAGGAGUAAUCCGCUAUGAGAUGGGCCCGCGGCGCAUUAGCUAGUUGGUGAGGUAACGGCUCACCAAGGCGACGAUGCGUAGCCGACCUGAGAGGGUGAUCGGCCACAGUUGGGACUGAGACACCGGCCCAGACUCCGUACGGGAGGCAGCAGGUGGGGAAUAUUGCACAAUGGGGGAAACCCUGAUGCAAGCAACGCCGCGUGAGUGAUGACGGCCUUCGGGUUGUAAAGCUCUGUCUUCAGGGACGAUAAUGACGGUACCUGAGGAGGAAGCCACGGCUAACUACGUGCCAGCCGCAGC
Molecule: ribosomal RNA, 472 nt
Filed under: uncultured bacterium
Lineage: Bacteria
Description: bacterial SSU rRNA
Rfam family: Bacterial small subunit ribosomal RNA
Source: RNAcentral